Molecule: unclassified non-coding RNA, 300 nt
Filed under: uncultured Ascomycota
Lineage: Eukaryota; Fungi; Ascomycota
Description: sequence contains 5.8S rRNA gene, ITS2
Rfam family: 5.8S ribosomal RNA (bases 1-71)
Source: RNAcentral
GUGAAUCAUCGAAUCUUUGAACGCACAUUGCGCCCGGCAGCACUCUGCCGGGCAUGCCUGUUCGAGCGUCAUUCCUCACCCCUCCAGUGGCCUUGUGCUUGCUGGGUGUUGGGGGUCAGCAUGGUUUUCUUUUUUCCAUGCUGCCCCUGAAAGGAAGUGGCAGCCCCGUUGCUUUUUUUUGUGGCGCCCUUUGCGAAGUAAACUGACUUUUCUUCCGCAACCGGGACCCAACGGAUGGCUUCGCCGUCAAGGGACCAAAAGGCCCUUAUUUUUUUGUACGGUUGACCUCGAAUCAGGUAG